This 491-nucleotide ribosomal RNA is filed under the name uncultured bacterium. Its description in RNAcentral is "bacterial SSU rRNA". It matches the Rfam family "Bacterial small subunit ribosomal RNA", at positions 28 to 498 of the family's 1533-position model. The record is from RNAcentral.
GAUGAACGCCGGCGGUGUGCCUAAUACAUGCAAGUCGUACGCACUGGCCCAACUGAUUAAUGGUGCUUGCACCUGAUUGACGAUGGAUCACCAGUGGGUGGCGGACGGGUGAGUAACACGUAGGUAACCUGCCCCGGAGCGGGGGAUAACAUUUGGAAACAGAUGCUAAUACCGCAUAACAACAAAAGCCACAUGGCUUUUGUUUGAAAGAUGGCUUUGGCUAUCACUCUGGGAUGGACCUGCGGUGCAUUGGCUAGUUGGUAAGGUAACGGCUUACCAAGGCGAUGAUGCAUAGCCGAGUUGAGAGACUGAUCGGCCACAAUGGAACUGAGACACGGUCCAUACUCCUACGGGAGGCAGCAGUAGGGAAUAUUGCACAAUGGGCGAAAGCCUGAUGCAGCAACGCCGCGUGAGGGAAGACGGUUUUCGGAUUGUAAACCUCUGUUUUCGGUGACGAACAAAUGACGGUAACCGAGUAGGAAGCCACGGCU